AGUGAACGCUGGCGGUAGGCCUAACACAUGCAAGUCGAACGGCAGCACAGUAAGAGCUUGCUCUUACGGGUGGCGAGUGGCGGACGGGUGAGGAAUACAUCGGAAUCUACUUUUUCGUGGGGGAUAACGUAGGGAAACUUACGCUAAUACCGCAUACGACCUACGGGUGAAAGCAGGGGAUCUUCGGACCUUGCGCGAUUGAAUGAGCCGAUGUCGGAUUAGCUAGUUGGCGGGGUAAAGGCCCACCAAGGCGACGAUCCGUAGCUGGUCUGAGAGGAUGAUCAGACAAACUGGAACUGAGACACGGUCCAGACUCCUACGGGAGGAAGCAGUGGGGAAUAUUGGACAAUGGGCGAAAGCCUGAUACAGCAAUACCGCGUGGGUGAAGAAGGCCUUCGGGUUGUAAAGCCCUUUUGUUGGGAAAGAAAAGCAGCAGGUUAAUACCCCGCUGUUAUGACGGUACCCAAAGAAUAAGCACCGGCUAACUUCGUG
This 492-nucleotide ribosomal RNA is filed under the name uncultured bacterium. RNAcentral describes it as "partial 16S ribosomal RNA". It matches the Rfam family "Bacterial small subunit ribosomal RNA", at positions 29 to 507 of the family's 1533-position model. The record is from RNAcentral.